AAACUAGUUGGAGUUAGCUAUAUGAAUCAUUUUUCAUCAUUUAACUCUACUUGAAACCAAUUAUACAUUAAUAUCCAAACAUCAACAAAUACAGGCCAAAUCACUGAAAGUGGAACUGUCUCCCAAUUCUUCCCCCCCAAGAGCCAAUUUGGUAAGCUCAUAACAGGAUAAUAGCCUUUUUAUGAGUGCUAUUGUAAAUAUCACUAAAAAAGGAAUCAAGAAUAUGGAUGAUAUGAACAAGUGUAUUACAGAGUAGAAGUACUUACUGCCUUCACUUUGCUUCCUCCAA
RNAcentral lists this unclassified non-coding RNA (289 nucleotides) under Hevea brasiliensis (rubber tree). The record is from RNAcentral. Lineage: Eukaryota; Viridiplantae; Streptophyta; Magnoliopsida; Malpighiales; Euphorbiaceae.